UUGUUUGUAGUCCAACGGUUUAGAUUAUUGCCUUCCAAGCAAUUGACCCGGGUUCGAUCCCCGGUAAAUACA
Molecule: transfer RNA, 72 nt
Filed under: Salvia splendens (bonfire salvia)
Lineage: Eukaryota; Viridiplantae; Streptophyta; Magnoliopsida; Lamiales; Lamiaceae
Rfam family: tRNA
About the family: Transfer RNA (tRNA) molecules are approximately 80 nucleotides in length.
Source: Rfam by way of RNAcentral